This 254-nucleotide ribosomal RNA is filed under the name uncultured microorganism. RNAcentral describes it as "partial 16S ribosomal RNA". It matches the Rfam family "Archaeal small subunit ribosomal RNA", at positions 474 to 727 of the family's 1478-position model. The record is from RNAcentral.
CACCGGCGGCUCGAGUGGUGGCCACUUUUAUUGGGUCUAAAGCGUCCGUAGCCGGCUUGGCAAGUCCCCUGGGAAAUCUGGCGGCUUAACCGUCAGGCGUCCAGAGGAUACUGCCAGGCUUGGGACCGGGAGAGGUGAGAGGUACCUCAGGGGUAGGGGUGAAAUCUUGUGAUCCCUGAGGGACUACCAGUGGCGAAGGCGUCUCACUAGAACGGGUCCGACGGUCAGGGACGAAAGCUGGGGGCACGAACCGG